GGCGCGGGUGCGGGGCGGGGUUGAGGACGGUGCUGCCGUCCGGCUCGCCUGCCGCGCGCCGGAUGAGCCGUUCGAGCCUGCGCCGCACCA
RNAcentral lists this transfer RNA (90 nucleotides) under Streptomyces sulfonofaciens. Its description in RNAcentral is "tRNA-Ser". The record is from RNAcentral. Lineage: Bacteria; Bacillati; Actinomycetota; Actinomycetes; Kitasatosporales; Streptomycetaceae.